AGUGAACGCUGGCGGUAGGCCUAACACAUGCAAGUCGAACGGCAGCACAGUAAGAGCUUGCUCUUACGGGUGGCGAGUGGCGGACGGGUGAGGAAUACAUCGGAAUCUACUUUUUCGUGGGGGAUAACGUAGGGAAACUUACGCUAAUACCGCAUACGACCUACGGGUGAAAGCAGGGGAUCUUCGGACCUUGCGCGAUUGAAUGAGCCGAGGUCGGAUUAGCUAGUUGGCGGGGUAAAGGCCCACCAAGGCGACGAUCCGUAGCUGGUCUGAGAGGAUGAUCAGCCACACUGGAACUGAGACACGGUCCAGACUCCUGCGGGAGGCAGCAGUGGGGAAUAUUGGACAAUGGGCGCAAGCCUGAUCCAGCCAUACCGCGUGGGUGAAGAAGGCCUUCGGGUUGUAAAGCCCUUUUGUUGGGAAAGAAAAGCAGCAGGUUAAUACCCCGCUGUUCUGACGGUACCCAAAGAAUAAGCACCGGCUAACUUCGUG
This 492-nucleotide ribosomal RNA is filed under the name uncultured bacterium. RNAcentral's name for it is "partial 16S ribosomal RNA". It matches the Rfam family "Bacterial small subunit ribosomal RNA", at positions 29 to 507 of the family's 1533-position model. The record is from RNAcentral.